Molecule: long non-coding RNA, 1160 nt
Filed under: Cervus hanglu yarkandensis (Yarkand deer)
Lineage: Eukaryota; Metazoa; Chordata; Mammalia; Artiodactyla; Cervidae
Description: lncRNA (ENSCHYG00000018766.1)
Source: RNAcentral
GAGGGAUUGGGGGCGGGAGGAGAAGGGGACAACAGAAGAUGAGAUGGCUGGAUGGCAUCACCGACUUGAUGUACAUGAGUUUGAGUAGACUCCGGGAGUUGGUGAUGGACAUGGAGGCCUGGCAUGCUGCGAUUCAUGGGGUCGCAAAGAGUUGGACAUGACUGAGCGACUGAACUGAACUGAACUGAACUGGGAAAUCUUCACAGCAUGCUUCUUCUUCCUGAGUUCAAGUCAGACAUGCGUCUGCAUCUGUGUGCAGGAGUCAGGGGAAGUCAGGGUCAUUUGACUGAAGGAAACUUCGACUUCCUGGUGGCCAAACCACUUCCCCUCUCUUCUCUGAACACCCCACCUGCCCCACCCCCCAUGCAGUCCCCUUCCUCUAGGAAGGGCACCUUGAUUUGGCAGCACUUCACUUCUCUAACCCCUGGAGAAGGAAAUGGCAACCCACUCCAGUAUUCUUGCCUGGGAAAUCCCAUACACAGAGGAGCCUGAUGGGCUACAGUCCAUGGGGUCGCAAAGAGUCGGACAUGACUAAGCACGCAGCACAGCACUUCUCUAACAUAACCACAAACUCACUGUGCCUGAGCAGCCCCUGUGUCCUCAGCCAAGGCAGAACUGAAGGCACACAACUGCCAAUAAUCACGGUUAUUUUCUUGACCAGCAGGGUUGUAGUGGUGGGGAGUGGGUAGGUUGAAAGCCUUAUUGCUUCAAGUAUAUGUAUGGAUUCUGUACUGCUUUGCUUCUCAAAAUGCUGCCUAGAACACUAGUUCUUUGAGUUGAUGAAAGAUAGCCCCAAGGUUCUGUGGUCGUAUAAAUUCAAAGAAUAUUUCAUGCUCUCUCUGGAGAGAGUAGGGCAGUAAAGGCUCUGAGAAGGUCUGGAGUAAGGGAACCUUUCUAACAUUACUUACUCUCAGUUUCCCAAACACUUUUAAAAAGCUAAUAAAACCCUUACCUUCUUCCCUAACCCCUGCAAGUAGAAAUCCUCCUGUCCAAGGCAAUCAAGAGUAAGAGUUGGUUGGUCAAUCAUAAAAAGUCUGUUAAACCAGAGAGUGCUUUAAAAAUGACAUGCACUAUCUAAAAAAUUUUAAAUUAAAAAUUCACAAAUAUACAAACAUUUGUCAAUCUUCUAACAUGGACUCUAGGCUUUUUCUUUGUAUGCA